RNAcentral lists this ribosomal RNA (253 nucleotides) under uncultured bacterium. RNAcentral's name for it is "partial 16S ribosomal RNA". It matches the Rfam family "Bacterial small subunit ribosomal RNA", at positions 524 to 776 of the family's 1533-position model. The record is from RNAcentral.
UACGUAGGGGGCAAGCGUUAUCCGGAUUUACUGGGUGUAAAGGGAGCGUAGGCGGCUCGAUAAGUCUGAUGUGAAAGCCCGGGGCUCAACCCCGGGACUGCAUUGGAAACUAUCGAGCUAGAGUGUGGGAGAGGUAAGUGGAAUUCCUAGUGUAGCGGUGAAAUGCGUAGAUAUUAGGAGGAACACCAGUGGCGAAGGCGGCUUACGGGACCAUAAAUGACGCUGAGGCUCGAAAGCGUGGGGAGCAAACAGG